Molecule: non-coding RNA, 2819 nt
Organism: Paramisgurnus dabryanus
Lineage: Eukaryota; Metazoa; Chordata; Actinopteri; Cypriniformes; Cobitidae
Source: RefSeq, a predicted model, not a curated record
GAUGGAGAUAAUUCUUACAUUUACACAGCAAAGAAAUGUUUAAUCGUGACAAUAAGUUGUGUUUGGAACAUUCUAAUGUAACGUUAUAAGGUAGCAGUCUUAGGAUGGUAAAUUAUAUAAGUCAUUAAACAAAUAACUUUGUUGCACCACAUAUGCAUAGGCUAAUAGCAAAAGUAGCUAAUUAAACUAUUUUUUGUCGCAAAUAAGUUGAUAAUGCAAGAUACAGGGAAAUGCAAGAUUUUCAGUAGCGAUAUGUUACCUAUAUUACACUAACUCGCAACAAUUAAGCCUCUUUUAGCCAACAUGAUCAGAUGAAGAACAGUGUUGCCAGAUUGGUUUGUUUUCCAGCCCAGUAAUUACUUAAAAUCCACACAAAAUUAUACAAUAAACUCCCAGAAUGAUCUAUAAUAAACAAUACAACUUAAUUCAUACCAGCACUACUUUUGUGGCUUGUCAUGUUUUAAUAUGAAAUAAUAAAUAAUUUAAGUGCUCUUUCAGAUAUUAUAUAGGAGCCUACGAUAGACACUGCGAAUGUAAAAUUAUUUUCCAUUUCUGUACUUUCCCUUAAAAUAGCAAAAUUUCACCUGCCCAAGCCCAUUUUAAUACACAUAGUACAACCCAGAACCAACUAAAUGGGUGGAAAACAUUCUGCCUGACAAGACUGAUGGAGAAUACUGGUGAAAAUGUAAUGCUCUUUAUCUCCUACAGCACACACACACACACACACACACACACACACACACACACACACACACACACACACACACACACACACACACACACACACACACUGGGGGAAAUCUGUCCUUAAAAGCAAAUGCUGGUCGUAUGAUCUGUAUCCACACAUCCAUCCAGUAAAACCUUUCAUAGAAACUGCCAGUAAACAAUAAAUACGAUAAUUGUUUAUAAACAAAUAAUAUUAUGCUCAUAAAAAUAUGCCAAUUUAGCUGUUUUAUUUAUUCUGCUAUAUAUUAUUACAAAAAUGUGAUUACAGUACAGAAUAUAUAUGACAUAAACUGCUUCACGUUCACAAGGUCACGUUCUUUCUGAUCCCAUUUUUAAACCCUAGUUAGUGUGUAAUGUUGCUUUCAUAGCAUAAAUAAUACCUGUAAAAUGAUAAAGCUGAAAGUUCACUGCCAGUCGAUUUAUUUUCUUUAACAGAAUUCGCCUUUCAAAGCCUACAGCGAACGGCCGGUUUGGACUUCAGCCCUCUACUUUCUGCUUUAAUGAUGUCACUAGAACAGUUUUUUGACUAAACUCCGCCCACAGGAAUACAUCAGUGGCCAGCUAAGCUAACGGUGCGAGCCAAGCCAAUUUUAUUUAUUGGGAAACAGGAUAAAAAGGCUUCGAAUAAGUGGGUUGCAUAUAUUAUUACCCAUUGGCACCCCACUCCUGUCACUACAAUUUUUUGGAGGAGAUGCGGAGGGCUUUAUCUUGACAAAAGCAACCUCCACAGGACAGCAGCCUGAGAGCCUUGCCAUGGAGCGGCCUGAGAGCCCUGCUGUGAAAUGGCCGGAGAACCUCACCAAGAAGUCUGAGGCAAUAUUUGUACUAAAUCUUGUUCAGCUGUCUUCUAGACUCUCUCCAACCUCUCUUGCUCCUACUACCUCUACUGCUUUUACAACAAUUUUCUCUCCACUUUUUUUCCCCACCUCCACUGCCAUGCUCUAAGUUUUUGCCACAGAGGAAGAGGAAGAUAAAGAAAUCUACCUCUUCCCACUAUACCACACUUGUCUCUCUUCAAUUUGCAUCUGUCUCUUCCAGUUCUAAAUCUCAGAAGUGGCCACUGGUGAAGAACAGAAUAAAGGAUAACUUUUCCUGUUACAUCUUACUCCACAAUUUGCUCCUAGUCAAAUAUGUCUUCAUGUUAAUUAAAUUCAUUUAGCUAACCAGGUAUUUGUUAGCCAGUUCACAGUGUUUUAGAGCCCAAUGUCCAAGGACUGUGGUCAAUGUAAAUUCCUGACUUAAAUGGACACUUCACUUUUUUUUGCUAAUUUUCCAGCAGUAAGUUUUACCGUUUUAGAAUCCAUUCAGCUGAUCUCCGCGUCUGGCACUACCUUUUUUAGCAUAGCUUAGCAUAAUAAUUGAAUCUGAUUAGGCCAUUAGCAUCACGCCAAAAAAUAACCAAAGAGUUUCGAUAUUUUUCCUAUUUAAAACUUGACUCUUCUGUAGUUACAUCGUGUACUAAGACAGACGGAAAAUUAAAAGUUGUGAUUUUCUCAGCUGAUAUUUCUAGGAACUAUACUCUUAUUCUGUCGUAAUAAUCAAGGACUUUGCUGUCGUAACAUGGCUGCAGAAGGCAUAAUGAUAUAACGCAGUGCCCGAAAAUAGUCCCCUUAGUAUCUUUCAAUAGCAGGGGACUUUUUUCGGGCACUGCGUAAUAUCAUUUUGGUUGAUUGACAAAAACAAGCACAAAUUUGUUUGACACUAAUGGAAAGGACUGCAUAUCACUUCACAUAAAUAUGGACUCAUGUGAUUCACCUACAAAGCAUGGCAUUCAUGGCUUAAUAAACUUUUUGUCUUUUCAUCAUUUCAGGUUGCUGAAAAUGUAGAUGGCAGAAGGUUUCCUUUUCGAUAAAAUAACUGAGGAACAGAUAAAUGAGAGGAAAGCCGAAUUGAAAGUUCACUGGUUACGUGCUCUGUGUGUGGAAAAACCUGGGAUGACACAUAGGAGUCUGCCAGCAAAUUCCAACACAAGUCCCCACAUCCCAACCAGUUUUCAGCAUGACAGCCUACACCUUUACAUUAUCAAGCACCCUUCAACUGUUUAAUUUUGAGUGUCUUUGCUUGCUGUUCUUUAUUAAAGUUUUUGCACAGUA